RNAcentral lists this ribosomal RNA (438 nucleotides) under uncultured bacterium. Its description in RNAcentral is "bacterial SSU rRNA". It matches the Rfam family "Bacterial small subunit ribosomal RNA", at positions 8 to 458 of the family's 1533-position model. The record is from RNAcentral.
AGAGUUUGAUCCUGGCUCAGAUUGAACGCUGGCGGCAUGCCUAACACAUGCAAGUCGAACGAGGGUAGCAAUACCUUAGUGGCGGACGGGUGAGGAAUACGUAGGAAUUUGCCCUUAAGUGGGGGAUAGCCCGGGGAAACCCGGAUUAAUACCGCAUGAUCUCGAAAGAGCAAAGUGGGGGAUCGCAAGACCUCACGCUUUUGGAGAAGCCUACGUCGGAUUAGCUAGUUGGUGAGGUAAUGGCUCACCAAGGCGACGAUCCGUAACUGGUCUGAGAGGAUGAUCAGUCACACCGGAACUGAGACACGGUCCGGACUCCUACGGGAGGCAGCAGUGGGGAAUAUUGGACAAUGGGCGCAAGCCUGAUCCAGCAAUGCCGCGUGUGUGAAGAACGCCUUCGGGUUGUACAGCACUUUAAGUUGGGAAGAAAAAACUCGC